This 395-nucleotide ribosomal RNA is filed under the name uncultured bacterium. Its description in RNAcentral is "bacterial SSU rRNA". It matches the Rfam family "Bacterial small subunit ribosomal RNA", at positions 34 to 424 of the family's 1533-position model. The record is from RNAcentral.
GAAUUCACUAGUGAUUCAGGCCUAACACAUGCAAGUCGAGCGGUAGAGAGAAGCUUGCUUCUCUUGAGAGCGGCGGACGGGUGAGUAAUGCCUAGGAAUCUGCCUGGUAGUGGGGGAUAACGUCCGGAAACGGACGCUAAUACCGCAUACGUCCUACGGGAGAAAGCAGGGGACCUUCGGGCCUUGCGCUAUCAGAUGAGCCUAGGUCGGAUUAGCUAGUUGGUGGGGUAAUGGCUCACCAAGGCGACGAUCCGUAACUGGUCUGAGAGGAUGAUCAGUCACACUGGAACUGAGACACGGUCCAGACUCCUACGGGAGGCAGCAGUGGGGAAUAUUGGACAAUGGGCGAAAGCCUGAUCCAGCAAGGCCGCGUGUGUGAAGAAGGUCUUCGGAUU